Molecule: non-coding RNA, 294 nt
Organism: Erinaceus europaeus (western European hedgehog)
Lineage: Eukaryota; Metazoa; Chordata; Mammalia; Eulipotyphla; Erinaceidae
Source: Rfam
AGAUGUGAGGGUGAUCUGGCUGCGCCAUCUGUCACCCCAUUGAUCGCCAGGGUUGAUUCGGCUGAUCUGGCUGGCUAGGAUCACCUUCCUCCCUCACCGCUCCAUGUGCGUCCCUCCCGAGGCUGCACACUCUGUCAAAGAGGAUGGCCUUCCCCGAAUAGCGAUGGACAAGUCUUCGGUCGAGAUUGUACAAAUAGCUGCACUCCCCUGCUAGAACCUCCAAACAAGCUCUCAAGGUCCAUUUUUAUUUUAUAUUUAUUCCCUUUUGUUGCUCUUGUUUUAUUGCUGUAGUUA